GCCUCGGUGGUGGAAUUGGUAGACGCGCAUGGUUCAGGUCCAUGUGUCCGUAUGGACAUGGGAGUUCGACUCUCCCCCGAGGCACCA
RNAcentral lists this transfer RNA (87 nucleotides) under Desulfobulbaceae bacterium. RNAcentral's name for it is "tRNA-Leu". It matches the Rfam family "tRNA". Rfam says of the family: Transfer RNA (tRNA) molecules are approximately 80 nucleotides in length. Their secondary structure includes four short double-helical elements and three loops (D, anti-codon, and T loops). Further hydrogen bonds mediate the characteristic L-shaped molecular structure. tRNAs have two regions of fundamental functional importance: the anti-codon, which is responsible for specific mRNA codon recognition, and the 3' end, to which the tRNAs corresponding amino acid is attached (by aminoacyl-tRNA synthetases). tRNAs cope with the degeneracy of the genetic code in two manners: having more than one tRNA (with a specific anti-codon) for a particular amino acid; and 'wobble' base-pairing, i.e. permitting non-standard base-pairing at the 3rd anti-codon position. Lineage: Bacteria; Pseudomonadati; Thermodesulfobacteriota; Desulfobulbia; Desulfobulbales; Desulfobulbaceae. The record is from RNAcentral.